ACUCACGAUUACGGUGUGAAGAUGCGCAGUGUCGUCAAGUUCUUGGAAGGCGGCGACAAGGUGAAAAUCACCAUGCGUUUUCGUGGCCGCGAAAUGGCGCACCAGGACUUGGGUCGCAACCUGCUUGAGCGCGUUGCAGAAGACACCAAAGAGAUCGGCAAGAUAGAAAACAUGCCGAAAAUGGAAGGUCGCCAGAUGAUCAUGAUGAUCGGCCCUCUUCCGAAAUAAACACGCCGCAGGGCCGACAAACGGCCCGCAGCACCAGACGCCGAGUCUGACAGGGUACCCCCGAAGCCUCACGGUUUCGGGGGU
This 312-nucleotide unclassified non-coding RNA is filed under the name Celeribacter marinus. Its description in RNAcentral is "Long range pseudoknot". Lineage: Bacteria; Pseudomonadati; Pseudomonadota; Alphaproteobacteria; Rhodobacterales; Roseobacteraceae. The record is from RNAcentral.